AGUGAACGCUGGCGGUAGGCCUAACACAUGCAAGUCGAACGGCAGCACAGUAAGAGCUUGCUCUUACGGGUGGCGAGUGGCGGACGGGUGAGGAAUACAUCGGAAUCUACUUUUUCGUGGGGGAUAACGUAGGGAAACUUACGCUAAUACCGCAUACGUCCUACGGGUGAAAGCAGUGGAUCUUCGGACCUUUCGCGAUUGUAUGAGCCGAUGUCGGAUUAGCUAGUUGGCUGGGUAAAGGCCCACCAAGGCGACGAUCCGUAGCUGGCCUGAGAGGAUGAUCAGCCACACUGGAACUGAGACACGGUCCAGACUCCUACGGGAGGCAGCAGUGGGGAAUAUUGGACAAUGGGCGAAAGCAUGAUGCAGCCAUACCGCGUGGGUGAAGAAGGCCUUCGGGUUGUAAAGCCCUUUUGUUGGGAAAGAAAAGAAGCAGGUUAAUACCCAGCUGUUCUGACGGUACCCAAAGAAUAAGCACCGGCUAACUUCGUG
Molecule: ribosomal RNA, 492 nt
Filed under: uncultured bacterium
Lineage: Bacteria
Description: partial 16S ribosomal RNA
Rfam family: Bacterial small subunit ribosomal RNA
Source: RNAcentral